AAGAUUACCGAAGUUAAGCAUCAAUGGGCGCGGUCAGUACUUGCGUGGGUGACUACCUGGGAACACUGCGUGCCGUU
Molecule: ribosomal RNA, 77 nt
Filed under: Caerostris darwini
Lineage: Eukaryota; Metazoa; Arthropoda; Arachnida; Araneae; Araneidae
Source: RNAcentral